Molecule: long non-coding RNA, 1978 nt
Organism: Oryzias latipes (Japanese medaka)
Lineage: Eukaryota; Metazoa; Chordata; Actinopteri; Beloniformes; Adrianichthyidae
Source: RefSeq, a predicted model, not a curated record
UUUGCAAGAAAACUAGGAUGCCGAGGGGGGAAAUGGAUGCUCACCAGCUGACAGGAACCCUCUAUUUUCUGCACAGCACUGCUGUUUCCAGGGUUUGGUAUGUUUGGCCAAAACACAGAUUUGGCUCUGGAUGGAGAUGAAGGACCAGACACAGUUAGAUGAUUUAUAGUAGUACUUCGCUUCCUUUUUACACCUGAGCUUUACCUUUUUAGUAUCGGGGUUCCAACAAUCGCAACAGUGAUCACAACUGCAAGAACUGUGAUGACAUUUCUGAAAUGGAAAUGUCCUAUGCAAAGAAAGAGGGCAAACAUCCGAGAUUGUUGCACUUCUGACUCCUGCACCAGCAGAGGUGAAACCGGACACCUGGACCUGGUACAUGGUGUCGACUUUGAGCUCCUGCAGUUUGCAGCUGUUAAAGAUCUGUUCAGCCCUUGAGGCCCCUCUGCAGGCCCAGGUCAGCAGAUCCCUCCGCUCUGCAGGAAGUCCUCCAUUCAUCGUCACCAAGGACUGAUAACCUCUGGGACUCCAGAGCUGACAAAUUAUUUAGAUUUCCAAGAACUGAGAGGACACCACACACUGUGAGGAUCAAGCUACAACCCUUUCAUCAAAAUGAGUAGAAGAGGGAAGUUUCCAGGUUUAACCUUUUGAAAAAGAUGAAAAAAUAAAGUCAUUAAAACUGAGGAGGGACUGUAGUCCUGCAGAAGUCCUGGACCUGUGGUUUUGCGCAAUACUGCACCUUUGAGCAAACAUGUUACCCCUGCCAAAAUACUCAAAAACACACACCCAGUACUAUAUAAAAAACAAAUUUUGGACAUAGAGGACGACCCCUCCAAGAACUGAUGACAUCACAGCGAGAGAAACAUUCGAGAAAAAUCCACUGGGCCAAAAUCUCUUGUGGGCCUCAAAAAAAUCGGUUCAAAAACCACUAAUGAAACCAAAAUACACAUGUUGGAUGUUUCCACAGGAUGUUUUAAAAUUAUUAUGGGAUGCGGCCAUUCCAUAAUAUUUGGCUAAUUUCACAUUUAACUAUUAUUUUACUUUGUUUUACCUUCUAAGCAAGAAAGAUUAAGAAAAAGACCUUUUGAAAAACAAAAAAGGGAGUUACCGAAAUGACACAAGACAGUCAUUAUAAUAAAGAAAAUCAUUAAAUUAUUAAAAUAAUUAGAAUUAAAAACACAUAAAACCUCUUCGCACAACAUGGGUAAACAAAACUUUUGUCAGGGCGAUCUUCACGAAAUUCCCCAAGUCUCUAACCACAACCAAAGUUUGGUUGACCUUUGACCUCGACAAGAAGUUGCCAUUGCGAGGUUUUAAAAAAAGGUAAAAAAUAGAAUCCCGGCUACAAAUUUUGAUUUAUCGCCUCCUGACUCCUCAAACAUCCUUUGGAAGAUUUCAGAAAAAAUGUUGGAUUUAGAAGUCGGAGAUUUGGAACUGCAUUAGCAAUCCCUUGUUGCUUACAUAAUUUAACAGAAUAUUGUGAAGUUGUAAUACAAGCUGAAGGGUCUACACAGCAAUAUGACAUAGAAUGUGACAAGGAAUGUGGGUGUGGUUAACAAAAACCCUCCGUUGCCACGGAAAUCUAAGAAUUUACUUUUGCCGAUUUUUCUAAAAAUUUCAUAGACCUGUUUGUUACCUUCAGGCAAACAAAAAAUUAAAUAGUUGCUAUGGAGAUAAAACCAGCAGAAAAGCGGCACAAAUUGAAUUCGUGCAGCAUCGUAGUGAGGGGCGUGUAGCAGCCGCUCAGCCAAUGAGGUAAGAGGGCGCUCACCGCUUUAUUCUUCAUCGCAAUUUAAAUAUUUCUAUUUAGCAUAAAAACCAACACGUAUCCACCAAAUUUCUGAAUUAGUAUUUUAAGAUAAGAUUUUAUUAUUUAGCAGCAGAUUUAGGAUUUAAAAAAAGGGACGAUAGAGGGUAAAAUGUUGGAUAGUCACAAUUUUUAAUCUGUUUGAAUCUAAAUAAAGAUGCAUCUGACUUUGCU